UGCGUUAGUUAAAGUGUGUGUGAGACACAGGGGGGGACACAUGGCACGGGGGGACAGGAAGUGUCCCCAGACUCUACCCGGUCACUGACACAGAUUUGAGGACGAAUGAAACGAUUUUCAACCGGAGACAUGAACGACUCUCUCAGGACGAACCUGAGCUUCCAGCGAAAACAAAUCUUUUUGGACUUUUAACUUGUGCCGUACUUCAAAAGAGAUGAGUGAGGUCGUCAGAGUGUGAUGAGUCGUACCCAUCCAGAGCGACCUUUCCCCCUGCCACCUGCCCUCCAGCCCUGGUGCCUUGAGGGCAUCAUUAGGGGCGAGGAGGUUGAAGAUCAGGGAGGGAAGGUCCUCGGCUUUGAAAGCGGCAGCAGUACAACAGCUGGGCAGCCCCGAGUAACAAAGGAUUAUGAGGAGAACUGACUGGUGAGACAAUGCCACCACGGCACCUCAGCUCAGCUUCAUCAGGCAGCACAGUCUCAUCAAGGACAGGCCAAGCUGCAGGGGGGAUGAUGAGCGUGAAAUCAAAGCAAAGUUAGAAAAGGGAAAGUCUUCAUAGAGGAAUGCUCUUAGACCUUCUGCUCCCCCGCAUCAGGCCCAAGGGUUGGUCUGGGAGGAGGGUGCAGGUUUACUUAUGCAUGAGGAGCGGCUUUAAAGAAGUGACAGUUAACCCCCUUCACGGUGAAAGACAGGUUUAAGGGUUGGAGGUUGGGGAGAAAGCGACAAAAGGAUGAUUGCGUACGACCCGGGUGACCUUCGAGCUACGUGGACCUCCAGCUACAAAGGCUCAUAUUUGCAUCAUAGUUCAUAUUGUCAAAUAAAUCUUUCAAUUUUCGUCAUGCUGUGUCAGCAGCAUGCAUGAACUCCUAACUUGGUCUUGACUAGCACCGGGCCAGGUCAGCCCACGCCAGUCAUGGCUUAGAAUGUGAUUAACCAGAUCUUGAUCUGCAUUACCUUGUAUUUGCAUGUC
Paralichthys olivaceus (Japanese flounder) is the source of this 967-nucleotide non-coding RNA. Lineage: Eukaryota; Metazoa; Chordata; Actinopteri; Pleuronectiformes; Paralichthyidae. The record is from RefSeq and is a predicted model, not a curated record.